AGAGCCCUUUUCACUUUACCAUGUAGAUAUACAGGUAUCUAUAUUGGUCAUUCAAAAGGGCCAUAUUAAAUAUCCUCUUAAAACCCAAGCCAUAUUUCUUAAUUGGCUUUGGAUCCUGUCAGGGGAGAUACUG
Small nucleolar RNA from Pseudophryne corroboree (corroboree frog), 133 nucleotides. RefSeq annotates it as small nucleolar RNA SNORA27. The record is from RefSeq and is a predicted model, not a curated record. The transcript has a single exon. NCBI's taxonomy places the organism in Eukaryota, Metazoa, Chordata, Amphibia, Anura, Myobatrachidae.